RNAcentral lists this ribosomal RNA (255 nucleotides) under uncultured bacterium. RNAcentral's name for it is "partial 16S ribosomal RNA". It matches the Rfam family "Bacterial small subunit ribosomal RNA", at positions 77 to 334 of the family's 1533-position model. The record is from RNAcentral.
CGAAACCAAAGACUGGCGACCGGCGCACGGGUGAGUAACACGUAUCAACCUGCCUCAUACUCGGGGAUAGCCUUUCGAAGAAAGAUUAAUAUCCGAUAGCAUAUAUUUCCCGCAUGGGUUUUAUAUUAAAGAAAUUCGGGUAUAGAUGGGGAUGCGUUCCAUUAGUUUGUUGGGGGGGUAACGGCCCACCAAGACUACGAUGGAUAGGGGUUCUGAGAGGAAGGUCCCCCACAUUGGAACUGAGACACGGUCCAA